UUAGGAAUCUUCCACAAUGGGCGAAAGCCUGAUGGAGCGACGCCGCGUGAGGGAUGAAGGCCUUAGGGUUGUAAACCUCUAAAAGAGGGACGAUAAUGACGGUACCUCUUGAAUAGCACCGGCUAACUCCGUGCCAGCAGCCGCGGUAAUACGGAGGGUGCAAGCGUUAAUCGGAAUUACUGGGCGUAAAGCGUGCGUAGGCGGUUUGGCAAGAAAGAUGUGAAAUCCCAGGGCUUAACCUUGGAACUGCAUUUUUAACUGCCAGGCUAGAGUAUGUCAGAGGUGGGUAGAAUUCCACGUGUAGCAGUGAAAUGCGUAGAGAUGUGGAGGAAUACCGAUGGCGAAGGCAGCCCCCUGGGAUAAUACUGACGCUCAGGCACGAAAGCGUGGGGAGCAAACA
RNAcentral lists this ribosomal RNA (400 nucleotides) under uncultured bacterium. Its description in RNAcentral is "bacterial SSU rRNA". It matches the Rfam family "Bacterial small subunit ribosomal RNA", at positions 355 to 774 of the family's 1533-position model. The record is from RNAcentral.